This 14984-nucleotide long non-coding RNA is filed under the name Cricetulus griseus (Chinese hamster). RNAcentral describes it as "lncRNA (ENSCGRG00015040427.1)". Lineage: Eukaryota; Metazoa; Chordata; Mammalia; Rodentia; Cricetidae. The record is from RNAcentral.
AGAGGAAGGGGAGGUUAGGCCUGAGAAAAGCGUGCCCAAACCACAGAGCCUGCCGAGUGCAGGCCACAUCACCAGCAACGGCCUUAAUGAGCUCUGGGCUGGACUCUCCCAAUUGAAUUACAUAAUACAUUUCCGUUUCAUUUCAUGAAUCACGACUUGGGAUACAAUGUUCCUGGGUUGCAGUUGAUAUAUUUCAGAGAUUACCAAAGAUUUCAAACAGAAAAAAAGAUCUAUUUUAUUAAACUCAUAUGUAAAAUGUCUGUAUGUCAGCCAACUUAUUUAUUUUCAAAUUUGGGAUUUUUGUAAAUGUCAUCGUUAGACAAUGUCAAGAGAGUUCCCGAUAAACCCAUUAAUGAAUGGUAUGACUGAAGCGGCCCCUGGACAUUUCAUUUCUCUUGACAACCAGGUUCCUGCUUGAUGAUGGUGGCUUUUAUUUCAACUGCUUCUGUUGGGUGAAAGUGAGGAAAAUAUGGCAAACCUCAAAGCAUGGACCAGGGGGAAGUCAGGCUCAACCAGACUGUUCACGGGCAUAUGGUCUGAGAUGAUCCAUCAUGGUCUAUGAUGUCAGAUUAUCCACUGAGACUUGGGACUCUGCAGAAAUAUAGUUCUGUUCAGAUAAUGGUAUUUCCAGUUGUUGUGAUGGACAAGACCGACGCUGUGGAAAACAGACUGGUAGGAUACCAGAUGACAGACGCACAAGGCAGGCAGAAGAACAAGGCAUUGUGAACUGAGCCGUAGGUGAGUUUUGCAGUGCCUUCCUCCACUGCAUUUCUCAGCAGUCAGCAUUGGUUACCAUCCCAAACCCCAUAGUCAACCAGUCCACAGACACACAGCCUUUGGUGUGGUAAGUUCCUGGCCACUGUCGUGAUGAUUACCCAAGCUUCCACAGGCUCUUCCCGCUGUGCAUCCCCCUCCUGCUACUCUUGUCUCGCUUCAUAAACCUGAAAGGCCAUGUAAAGGGCUGCUUUCAGCCCCUUCCUCCCUGUGGUUAACAGCUCCAAUCAUUUACUCUUCCUCUGCAUCGUUUGUUUUGUUUUUCCUGUCUUUAACUCAUUCUCUUUAUAUUUUUUCUGGAAUAUUCUCCUAAAUCCCCUAUAUUCUGCCCUGAAUAUUUUGCCUUCCAAUACUGAAGCAAGAAAAAAUGAGAGACCUGGAAGGACUUGUGGGCAGGGGAAAGAAUAAGAUCAAAAUAGACUGCAGGAAAACAAUAAAAAUAAUUCUAAAAUGUAAUUUAAAAAGAACAAUCAGAACCUACCCCUAUGGAACUCCAUUAUUUUACCUACAUGUAUAAUGUAUAUCACAUGUGAACACUGUAUACAUCCACUGACUUUAGCAGGGUACUGUGUAGACAAAGAAGCAAAAUGACACCAUGGAAAUAUGGUCUUUGAGACCAAGAUGACUUAGAUUUAAAUGGCUGAUUUGCUGUUUACCGAGUGUUUGAGCCUUGGAAGUAUUAUGACUUAACCUCUAGGUUCCUAUGGUUCCUUUGUUUAUCCUACGAGUGAGCUGUAAAACUUAUCAUCAUAUUGGCAUACAGGCAACCAAUGUUUGGAGCCCAUCAUGUCUGUCAUUUCUAUGAUUAAUCAACUCCUUCACAUGCCUGUUUUUUAAGCUGCAGAUCUUUUUGUGGAUACAUAAUCCAUAUUGUAUUAAUACAGAAUCUCAAUCAUAUUAAAAUUUGUUUAAAUGAAUGAGUUUUGAAGGCACUUUUCAGGGUCCAUAGACAUAGUAAACAGACAGAAUCAAUGUCAAUUAAAAAUCCAGAAGUGUCUCACCUUGCUUGGCCCCUGUUUCUCAGAGACCACCCCCACUGAUCACUUUUCCAUUCCAAUUCCAAGUUUUCCUUUUCUGUCUUGGGUGAAAAGUUGAGUGAUAGAAGUUGGGAUGUAGGUCUGAAAACCUCAGGAAAUGGUUAAGUUUACUUUCCUUCUUAAAUGUAUAUUUUAACAUUUUAACAGAGGACAUUGUUAAAAAACCAAGCUGCUCUUCUGACUCCUAAGAAUGGUGAUUUCUUGGCAGAUCUAUAUGUUGUUUUCCACCCUAGACUAGCAACUCAAUCUCCAAGGAAGAACACAAGGAAUCAGGUUUUAACAGGGACAUCAUCACUGGGCCAGCUGGAAAGCCUGAUCUAAAUCAAUCACAAGAUAAUAUAUCUGAACACCAUCCUGCCUAUGUGAAGUUUGUAUGCAACAAACAGGAUUAAUUUAACUCCUCAGGGAGUUUAGAUUCCCUUCGCAAAUUAUAUGCAACACAUAUAUGUAUGUGUACUAUGUGUAGUGUGUAUAUUUAUGUGGUAGUACCCAUGUACAUACUCAGCUGUACUUUUCAGGGUUUCAGUUAUCCAUGGUCAACCAUAGACAGAAUGCAUUCAAUGGAAAGUUUUAAGAUAAACACCUCAUGCGUCUUCAGUAACUUUCAUGGGACUGUAUAUUUAUGACUAUUCUUUCUUGCCAUCAUCUAUUACUGUUAAUCUCUUACUGUGCAUAAUUUAUAAAGUUCACAAUUGGAGUGUAUAUAUAAAGCAAACAUCACAUCUAGAGGACGUGGGUAUCAUUUGUGCUUUCAAGUGUCCACUUAGAAAAUGCCUAUGAAGACACAUAAGUAAGAAGAGAUCACUGUGUAUGCGCAUAGGAUUAGACAUAUAUACACACACAUACUCAUACAUACACAUUAAAAAUGAUAAACUAUCAUACAGCUUCACUGCUGAAAGAAAUAGGGCAAUAGGAGCAAAAUACACAAGAAAAAAAAAGAUCCCCCAAAAGUUAGGAUCUUUUUCUUGGAGGAAAACAGCUGUUUCUUAGAGAAGUUUAUACAGGCAUUUUCAGUACUACUUAUGGAUAUAUUCAAAUAGCCACAUGAGUCAAAUAAAUUGUAUAGCAAACCUCCCCCCCUAUACCUGUCACUGAUUUUGAAUAUGACUUGCCCACCACCCACCCUUCCCGGUGCUCCUCCUGGAAACCUUUUAAAGCAGGCCACAGAAGCCCUGUACUGGCCACAUGUUUAUUACACUUCUAGGGCAGGAUCACAGGAAUGUUUACUUCAUUUCUACACCUGCCCUGUAGAAGGAGUGCAGACCACAAACCACGGUUCAAGUAGCACUGUGUCAAAGCUCAUGCCAAAGGGCUAGGGUGUAGCUCAGUAGUAGAGCUAGUAUUGCCUAGCAUGUGUGGGAACCCGCAUUUGAUCCCCAGUCCUGGAAAAUUAAAGAAGUAAAUAAAUGAAUAGGCUCAGCAGGGGCUGUGGUGAAGAGGAUUCCAAGCAAGAAACAAGUGACAAGAAAAUGAAAAAGCUCCCCUGGGAAGAACUAACUUCACUACAGGAAUCUGAACUAUGCCAGGUAUGCUGUGUGUUCACUUCUUUUUUAAUGGCUGUUAUCAUUGUGGCAAGAUGACACCCUCACUUUCCAAUGUAUAGAUGAGGAGACAGAGGUUCUAAGAAGAGAGCAACCUACACAGAGUCUUCUAACUAAAACUGUCAGCCUCUCUCUUGGUAACCCUCCAGAAAUUUAUGGUAGGACUAUGUUUCUUAAUUCUAUAUAUUGAAUCAUAGAACAGGGAGAAGUCAAGUUGGUAUCUGAAAACUUCCCCUUAAUGACUAGUUUUCAUACUGUUGGAAGGUGCCAUGCACACUGCUGGAGGAGAAAAUUAGAUUGAUUUUAUCUGGGUAUGAACCUAGAGAACUAUGAUACUGACCAGCCUGGCAAAAGGAUGCCUGCUAGCACAAUAGUGGCACAAAAAAACAUGGAAGUAAACAACCAUUUUCUGGUUGGAUUUAAGGCUCAUUCUACAAAAUAAAACCCUUACAUGGCAUUGCUAUAGGGGUCAAGAAUCUAUGGCUAGAUAGGCCAUAGGCCCUAGAGGGACCUGCUAACAUUAUUCUGCUAAUGAAACAUAUAUUAAACCAAAUUCUAUCAGUUUAUUGUUAUAUCCACGGACUAGUGCAUCUCUCAAGCCUCCUCAGAAGAAAUGCUUUUCACAACAGAAAGCAAUCACAGAGAUCCCACUAUAUGACUGGUUAGGGCAUAAAGAAUGAGGGACUACAAAAUGCAGAAUUUUAAAAGGCAUCUAUAUUGCAUCCCCUCCUCCUCCAAGGCUCUGGGAUCACUUUAGAAGUGGGGAAGAAAGACUGUAAGAGUCAGUGGUUGUGAAUGACUACAAAGAAAGUGUUUUUUGCUGGCACAGGUUGGAAGUUGAAUAGAUACAAAUACACUAUUUGUAGUUACAGUGUGUGCACGACCUGCACAAGUUCAACCUAGACUAAGUCCCAGAAUAAAGAAGGGUUGUGGUCAUCAAGACUCACCUCUAGCUCAAGAACUAUUGGCAAAUGACAGUUUCUGGGAGAGGGAGUUUUGUUGAAGGGUGUGGCCCUUGGUAGGCAGACCAUACUCAAACGGAAGGUCACACAUUCAAAAAUAGUGUGGGCAGUCAAAUUAGACUUGAUGGGUAUAAUAAUAAUAGUAAUAAUAAUAAUAAUAAUAAUAAUAAUAAUAAUAAAGUUGGGUGGUUAAGGAAGGGGGAAUAUAUCUUGGAGUAGCUGGGGAUGAGGUGAAUAUGAUCAAAAUACAUUGUAUGAUCUUGUCAAAGAACUAAAAUGAAUGAGAAAAUUAAUUAUUUAUUCUUUGAAAAUUUCAUAGAUUUGUACAAGGUAUUUUGACUAUAUCCACUCACCACUUCCUCCUUUCAACUUCCUCUAGUUCUCCCCACCCUAUCUCUUUCCUGUCUCUGUGUCCUCUUUUAUUUUUUAAUGUCAUUGAUAACCUCAUGAGUUCAAUUGAUAAUGCCCGUAGUCACACAGGAAGGACCAUCUCCUGGAUCGUAGGCAAAUAAAUCAUCAGUAGCCGUGUUCCAAAGUUGAGGAUGAAGGCCUGGAAGCAGAGUUGGUGGAAUGCACCCAGGUGGGGACACAGUGUGUAAGGAGAAUAGUGUGCCUUAGACAUAGCAGCCACCAAUGAGAGUCAUGAAAACUAAAGUGGAUAAAGCGAUUAAAUCCUAAGAGAGCCAGGUAACAUAUGAUAGGGAAGUUGCUCACAUAAUCUCAAUAAGAUGGUUGCCUAAACAGGCAUAAUGACAAUACCAGUUGAAACACCAACAGGGAUGGGAAAAAUUGCACACCAGGUCCUAUCCUUAGAUAGAAAAUCAGACCUCUAUAGGGAAAAGUACACUCAUGGGUUAUCCAAUCUGAAGUUGUCAGCCCUAAAUAGAUGUACAUAGGCACAAUACUAAAUAGACUCAGUGUGUUUAUGUAUGUAUGUGUUUUCUCUCUCUCUCUCUCUCUCUCUCUCUCUCUCUCUCUCUUUGUGUGUGUGUGUGUGUGUGUGUGUGUGUAUGUGUGUAAGAAUGGAAAUUAAAGAUGAGGUCAUGGAUUUGAGAGUGGAGACAUAGGAGGAGUUGGAGGGGUAAAUAGGGAGCAGGAAUGAUGUAAAUAUAGUGUUCAUAUAUGAAUUUUUUAAUUUUUAAAAACAUUAAAAAUUUAAAUCAAAUUAAAAAACCGAAGUCCCAAUUUUCCAAUGGUUUAAGAUAAUAAGCACUAAAUACUUCCCCAUCACAAAAUCAAACAACAAAAUCACUUUUCAUCACAAAGUGCUUUAGUCUAACUGACAUUUAUGGAGCCCGCAUUCACUCACUCCGUCAUGAUAUUUUUCUGUUGGCUUAUCAUUUACACAUGAAUCUACUGAUAUUUUCAUUAUCAUCUGCCCCCCAUAUCCUCUUAGUCAGCAUCCCACUGACCACUCAGUGUGGCAGUUCCUGGUGGGUUUAAAUUAAAUCUCCAUUCUUCUAUUUAUCAAUAAGACUCAGAGGUCAAAGGCUCUGGUGAAAACCGGCUAGCUCAGAAAGACUGAGUUGCUUUUUGGCCUGAGACACUACAAGAUACAUGUCUCUUCUCUGUCCCAGAACCAAGAGAGCCCAAAUUCUAGUCCCCACCCUUUCUGUCCUGUGCAUCUUCUCUAUCCAAAUCGCUGGCUUUUCUAUGGCCAGUUCUGGUCAGCUAGUCAUUGGCUCCACCCUCUGAUUCAGGGUAUCUCUUUUGGGCAGUCUCGGAAUGUCAGAGUGCAAUCAAUAUAUCUCACACUAACACAAGUUGCCCCCAUAUUGAGGAGGAAAUCAAAGCUACAGGUUCCAGCAGAAAGUAAGGGGUAAAAGAGAAGGUGCACCCCUUCCUUAGAGACUGGCUCUGUUAAUACCUACCUGGCAAACCUAGAUGCAGGUUCCAGCACAGGUAGGUGGGGGAUUAUAGGUCCCAGUGGGGUAGCUCCCCAAAUUAUGAGUGGGGAACAUAUGUUUAAAUUGCCCCCAGUUGCCUUAGCACCAGGUCCCUCAAAGAUGGUCUUAGUGUAAGGAGAAGGUAACAGGGCAUCUUAAGGUGAGCACAUGGGCCUCAGGUUUUGUGCAAGGGAAUCAUGUUACUAAGUAUAUUCACCUUAGAAAAAUAUGGCAGCAGUGGGAUAAUUCUGAAGGAUGAAAGCAACACAGUAAGAAAGAAAAAGCAACUGUGCCAACAGCAAGGCAAGAGCUGAAGAUGGGUGAAAGCAUGGAGGUGACAAGUUUGCAGACAGAGAUCAUAGGCAGGUUCAAAGGCAGGGAUGACUGGACCAGGGGACAGGAAGACAGGAAGAGCUUACAUAGACAACGGUGGUCUCCAUACCAAAAGGUGAUCAGCAUAUUGACUUCACCUGGGUGAGGCAUGUCCCCAGAGAGCUUUCCUCCUGACUCAUGGUUGCAGAGACAUGAGCCUAAGCCGGAAAGAAGGGGACAUAAGACAUUCGGCUCCGUUUGAUUUGGAUGGAGUCAGAAAAGCAACAUGGAACCUCUGACUUUCCAGGGAGAUUUUCCUGGAUAUGUCCCCAAACACAGUGUCCAUCCAGGCUCCAUUCACAUCUGCAGCAGCUGGACCUCAAGAGCCUGCUGGUGUGCUCUACACCCAUGCACUUGCCAGCAGUGGCCUGAGUUGCCAUCACAGCUGUUUUCACAGGUUUUGUUUGGGAACUCAGUGUGGGGCUUGGGAACAGCUGGGAGUUUCUGAGUAAUUGCAUACCCUGGGGGUGGAGGAAGGCCAAGUACAACAGCGUGUCCUCAGGACCCAUGACAGGGCAGUGUAGGAAAUCAGGUGAGAUGGCUCCUAAGAGUGGAGUUCCAGCCAUGGGGGUGGAGCUUGAAGCUCAGCCCAGAGGCAGAGACAGCAGUCCCUACAACACAAAGUAAGGCACCCCAGAGCCCUACCACACCCAAGGGUCACCUACUACUUCAAGGAAAUGUGGGUAUUUUAAAUGCAUAUUAGUAUCUCCCCUUUGCUAUGCUAGAACUACACAACUUGAAAGUCAAGUAGAAAGAAAAUGGAUGAUCUCCUUUGCUGUAAAAUGUGUUUUUGCUUUAAGAUUCAGAUCAAAUAUCAGCUUUGAAGCUUUCUUUAGCUUUCUUUGACCUUGUUCCUCUCUUCACUCCAGGAAGAUUGAUUGUCCGUUCUCUACAUCCAUGCCUAUUCUACCACCAGUGUAAAAUGUAAUCAUCUCCACUCAACUGGUCCAUGCUAAUUCAUUACUCACUGGGCUCUGGGGCCCUGAGGGUAUACUAGAGAGGAAAUGGGAGGCAGUCUUCUCUGUGGAUGUGAGGUAUCUCUGGCAGGGAUUAGACAUCUCACUCAGGUUGAUGGAAUCAAAUUUAAUCCACCCAAGGAUUUUGCACGCACAUUGGAAAUUUCCAAGAGAUAGGUCAAAAUAGCAAUCUACAAGCACAUUUGAAAACCUAACCUUUUAUUUGCUUUCCCAGGAGAAGGCCUUGGAAUACUUGACUCCGUUAGAUGUCAUUUGAAGUUGUCAGUAAGCCACUUCAUUGAAUGACAUGAUGUGUCCCUCCCCUAUCAUUAAAUUAUGAAUACACUCCACUGCCAAGCAAUGUGAGAUCUCAGGACUACAACAUGUUCCCCAAAAUAUAUCACUGUUAUCAAGGAGAAACCUUCUCUAAUACAAUAAAGAAAGGUAUGGUGCCAAAAAUAGUUUCAUUCUAGUAGAACCUUGUUCGUGGAGACCUGUUGCUCAAGGGGAUGUUAGCAUGCUCUAAAUCUCGAUUCUUCUCACUUCUGCAUCAAUAAAAUGCAAAUUCUCCUCUCAUCAUAAUUCUCAACUGUACCCAGAUUCCAAGAUCUUAUCCAUGACCCAACUUUGAAAAUCAGGUUUAGCACAACUUAUUCCCUGGCUUAGACCCUCUGUGAUCCUCUUAUUUUUAAAUCAGGAAUAAAAAAAGACAGCUUUUUGUGACCAGACAGCCAAGAAUCCCAGGUGGGAUUCGCUCCAAGAAGAGCACAUGCAUCUGUCAAGAUCCUGAAAAAUGGUUCCUCUUCAAAUCCUAAUUUUUUUCUUUAAGAGAAAAUAUAUAGAAACCACAAACAUAUUUGUAUCGUUGCCAUCCCAUGCCUUCAUUCUUGGAGGAAGUGUUGGAUUUUCUUGUUCUUUGGCUCUUUGGCUCAGAAAGCAAGGAGUGACAUCAGCGAGCUGAAACUACAAGUUCUACCACCCUUUCCGUGUUAAACUACGAUGUUUACUUCUCCGAGGGUUGGCCAAGAAAGUCCAUUUGGGCUGGAACGCCACAUAUUUAGUCUCAGAAUUAAGGUAAUUUCUUUGGAAAAGUUUCAACCAAAUCAAUUUAUUUCAGAGAUGUUGGUGUUGGGUCCCUUUUAAAAAAUUCCACAGCCCCAGGCUUGUUCACAGUACCUGCUCUGCUAACGCAAUUCCAAGCUGGCUGUCAUACUCAAAGCGGUACACUCUGGGUAUAUGGGACUCUGCAAUGUGGGUGUUGGGUGCCCAAGAAAAACGCUGUGGUUUUAUAGGGUGAAUGUAGCUGCAUGAGCUCACUGGAGACUAAAGAUCCGUGGGACUGAGGGGUUUGGACAAGAACCACUCCUGCUAUCUAUAACAUUUUUUCCAUAAUAAAACACACUCACACAGAUUCUUUCACUUGUUCCAUAAGAGUAUUUUGUGACACAGACAGAGUAGAUAUCAUUCUACCUAUUUUCAUAAAGAAAUACAAGGGUUAGGUGUUGGUAACUCCAUGGGCAAGGCUUCAUAGUUAGGAGUAGCAGACCUGCAAUGUGUCUGCCUCAUGGUUCAGCUCCUUUUUUCAAAGCUGCCUUCUCUAACUAAUCAGAAAGAACUAGGAGUGAAAUGGAACUGUAAAGUGUCUGCCCUUGAGGAUGCAUCAAUGAGAACAUAAUAAACAGAUGUCAAGUAUCCCUUGAAGACUACCCAGAAAGCUCUUGUCCAAACUGUUUCUUCUACUCACUCACUGCUGAUGCCUGAAAUCCCACCACUAACCAUAUGCUUCUUCAGGUAAGACACUGGAAUUCUUAUGUUGAGAAAUGCACACAUGCUAUAAUGUUUUUUGAAUCAAGUGUGUCCCCAUUCCCUUCCCUCCUUCACACACACACACACACACACACACACACACACACACACACACACACACACACAAUUCCCUUCCAAUUUUGUGUUUGUUUGUUUUUAAAUCUAUUGAGUCUACUUAUGAAGCAAUACAUAUGGGUAUAGGGCCAUCUACUAAAUCAUGGGUACCUUUAUACAGGCUGCAUCCAUGACAAAACCUGACUCUCCCUCUCUGAGCAACCAUCAGUUGCUAAUAGCUCCCCAGGUUGGGAUGGGGCUUCAUGACCACCUCUCUCCUCCAUGCCUGUAUUUCAUCUGGCUUGCUCUUCUCCAGGUCUUGGGCAUGCUAUCAUAUGCACAUUCAUAAGUAAUAACCAGAACUGCUCUAAUUGAAUGUUGUAAAGUGUUCAAAGCUUAAAAGAUAUCAAAAGUCAAUGUCAUUUUCUAGUACCCCUAAGCAAUAGCUAACUAUGAGGGAACAUUCUUUUCUCGAUCCUGAUAGGCAUAUUUUUUCAUGUGAAGAAAAUAACCAUUAGCCCUAUUGCAUUAAACCUGGCCAACAUAAAUCAUCCUUAGCCAGGGUGGCCUAUUUGCUGUCCCUGAAAAAUCUUGUCACCGCCUGUCAUGCCUCCAGGUCUGGGCUCACUCUGGUUGCUGCAACGGGACUGUGUCUUUCCAAGUUCUAGGUCUACAAUGCCUUCAAAUUUGCUCCAAGAUUACCUAUUCUCAGCCUUUGUUUUAAAAAGGACCAAAAAGAUUGUAGGAGUUGCCAAGACCACACAGCACAAUUACUUCUGGAGGCUGAAACGUAAGCCUCAAAGUAUCUGUCAGAAGGGUAUUUUCCCAAUGCCACUUCCAUUUAUUGCAAUCCAGACAGGAAAAGCAGCAGUGACCCAGUAUUUUCUUUCCGCUCCUCAGUAUUUUUCAUCUUAUCAAAAGCCCUACCUUCUCCAAUGCAUUUUAGAGUACCUGUAAGGGUUUAUGUAACUAAAACCUGUCUAACCCUGGACACGUAGUUUUCUCAGAAUGACUAAGAAUGGCUGGGCCAAAUUUGCUCAUUUAAAGACCAGUUAAUUGAUUGCAGUUUGAAUUCUAACUCUGCCACUGACUAAUUAUGUAACAUAGCAAUCCACCAGGUCUGGGUCUCAGUUUGUUUGUUUUUGUUUCACCAACAAAUAAAUAAUAUCAACAGAAUUUGUAUUGAUCAUUUCCCUUAGAAGACUGUAUCAUACAAAAAUCACAGGGCUCUGAACAGGUACAAAGAGCAGACGUUAUUAAGUCACAGAUGAGUGAGACAGCUUGUGAAAACCAAUGACCAUGAGGACCUGAAGGAAAGCACUAGGUUCCCAGAAGAGGAGAUAGAGGCUCCUAAAGGUAGUCUCUGAUGUGGUGUGACCUUGGUAGGUGAGAGGACAAAGGCGAGCCUAAGUUUAACUUUUCAGAGCUUAAAAUGUAACAGCAGGGAGCCAUCUUGUCUCCCUUCCUGGACCAAAUGGCCUCCCCUCUGUAAGGCAGUGGUGCCUGAGAGCCAUCAUUUUCAGAGGUCAGAAGGUUAAUGUCCCACUCUGACUCAGGUCACCUCUCAACCUCCCUCUCUGAAACUUCAGCUCUACAUUUUAAAGACACAUAUAAUAAAACUCGACCCUGAGGUCCACCCCAUUAAGGAAUAAAAACAGUAAUCCAGUAACUACAACACUGCAGAUCCAUGGAGGCCUCAUGGAUGUCUCUGUACUGAAACAGCAUACGGACAGAUUUAUGAUAAUUUGGAUAUUGUCUUUCUUCAUGUAUUAAACCUUCUGUGGAGAGUGUAGAAAGUGGAAAAGAGCCUCAGUUGUCCCAGUAAAGAUAUAUGGCGAUACCCAUUGACCUCAUGAUAAGAAGGGGCUUCCACAUAGGACACAUAUUAUAUAUAAAAUACAAAGAUAAGCUAGAGCCCUGUUCAACUCGGUUAUUUGACCCCCUGUGAAUGCCACAAUGAGGAUAGAUUGUAGAGGACUUGAAGCAAAGGGUAUUCACUCUAUUCAUCUUUGAGGGCACCAAAAUGCCCAGAAAUUUGCUGAAUACAGAAUAUGGUGAAUGUUUACUACACUAGAUCAAUAAAAUGAAAAUGGUUUCUAGAACAGUAUGUUACAGUGAGCAUGGACCUAGAUUAAGUGAGUUCAGAUAGCUUGGUUUUCAUCAUGAGCUUGUCCUUAGCUUAUUUGAAUGAUUUCUCUAUAACUCAGAUUUUGUUGGUCUGGCUAGGAAGGAUGCUAGAUGCCUGGUGAAGAUAAUCAACAUGGUUUUCUCCUCAAAUGCCCCAUUUGCAGCAUGAAUUGGUUAAUCUUCCAUCAGAGUACAGAUGGAGUCCACUUCCCAUUACUGUGCAUCUGGAUAGGUUUCAUGAUUGACUUUGUCCAAUAGAAUGCAUCAGAGGUGACUUUGGUGACUUCUGAGACUAGGUCUGAAGAGGUAUUACUGUUUCCUCCACUUUGGAUGCUACACUGAGUCUGCUGCAUAAGAAAUCUGGUCCAAACUACUAGAAGAUGAAAGGGCAUAUGGAAGACAACAAGGGCCCUCCAACCAAGAGCCAACAUCAGCUUCUGAAGCAGUGAGUAAGGCCAUCCUGGGUCUUUCCAUCCCUGUUGCUUCUCCAGCUGAAAGCAGUGACAUGAUCAAGUCCAAGGAAAGCAAAGGAGAGGCUGUUGAGCCAACCCACAGAAUUUUGAGAAAUAACAUUAUUUUUAAGCAGAGCCUAACUGAGCAAGGAAAGCAGACAAGAUUACUUCUAAGAUGCUGUCUACUCAUGAUUCCAAAGCCUCUGUGUAAUGCUAUUGUAAAAAUAUUUUACUAUAGUGAUAGCAAAAUAGAGCAAUAUUCAGAGAAGCAUCUACCAUUGAUUUUGCAAAGAAACUACAUACAGAGGAGAAGCGAGUCACCCAAGUUUGUCAUGAAGUGUUAUAUUGUAGAGCUGAGGAUGUGGUUUUGUUGAUAGGAAUGGCUUUUCUAGCAUUCACAAAGCCAUGGGUUCAAUUCCCAGACUGUAUAUAACUGACCAUGGUGGUAUGAUGGUGCAUGUUUAUAAUCCCAGCACUCAGAGGUGGAGUCAAGAAGACUGACAGUUCAAGUCAUUUUCCACUAUAUGACUAAUUUAAGUCCAGUCUAUGCUGCCUAAGACCUUCUCUCCAACAAAUUAAACUUAAAAUGGUAGAUUUUACAGCAUAGAACCUGACAGAGAGGAACACAAAUCCUGGCCCAUGAUCCAUACCUUCUUAACAGUUUCUCCACACACCUAAAAGAAUGGGUUGGACUGUUUCAUGAAUAGAGAUGCACUCCAUUGUGAAGUUAGCCAGGUCUACACAGAGAAAGGCCCCAAGAAACAGCCCAUUCUAGUGGACUACCCUUCCUAUUGAAUGACACUGACUCUUUCAUGCUUGUUUGGGACCAUGUUCAAAUGUGCAGACUUCAGCUGAAAUCAAGAGAGACUGAAACAGUCAGCCACACUUCAAAUAUUUAUUUUGUAUUCUAACAAUCAAUUUCUCAUCUCUCCUCCCAAUCUUUUUCCACCUGUUUGCAGAAAUAAUUACUAGUGCCCAAUUAUGAGCUCUCUGCCACUUUUCUCUCUGCAUUUCUGAAAGCACUCAGGAAAACUCUUCUCCUGAAGCGUAAGCCAUUACUAACAUAUCGUGGCGUCUGGCGUUGAUGUAGAGCCAAACUGGGAACUUCUGGGUUGGUCUUGGAUUGAGCUGAGGGGAGUUAAAUGUUUGGGGCAGGGGUGGAGUGGGGCUCCAACAAAAUGGCAAAAGUUAACUUCAAAAUGAAUGUCAGAAGAAAGAAUUAGAAGAGACAAUUAAAUAAACACCUGAGUGGAAAUUCCAGGGCUGGUGCCAUCGGCAGAGCAUGCAACACCCAUUUUAGACACAUUCUAAAGACAGUUUCAAUAAGGCAUCUGAGAAGGUGAAUCGAAUAAAUUCCAAAUCUUCAGAACAGGGUGGUUGCUAUGUGGCUUCCUAUGAGUGGACUAUUAAAUGAACUUUAAGGGGAAAAAAAUAAAACCUAGCAGUUUCUCCUGUCAUCGCCCAAUGAAAAAGAAGAGGAAAAGAAUCAGUUAGCCAGCAGAAUGACAUUCAGAUGUUGAAAGGGUGAAACCUGAGCAACACUUCGAAACCUUUGCUAGAAAACAAGAAGCUAGUGUUGAAAGUGAAGACACAAAGGCAAGCACUCUCCGAGGUUUAGCACACAGGCUGUGCCCACACUCUGAUUGGCAUGGACAAUUUGCCUAAGAAAACACAGCGGCCAGAUUCCAGCUAGCACCUUCUCACCUCCAUUUAUAACUGUAAGUGGCAAGGGUGAAGUUGAAAGGGAGAUGAUGGCCAGAACCUUCUCACAUACCUGCUGCUGCCAGCAUAUCUAGAACCAAUGGUUACCUAAGCCUCUCAUUUCAUUCCAACAUGUCUCAACCUACAAAGCAGGUCACACCCACAGAACUGUAGAAGAUUCACUAGCAUACUAGAAUGUCUUUGGUGUCUAGCAUACGUCAAAGACAAUGCAAGUGCUAAGAACAAAAGCCGGCAUCCACCAUCUAUCUAAGACCCAAUCAAUAUUGAUGACUAAGAGUGUUUAGUUUGGAAUAAAUAGCAUGUACAACUGUAGAUGAGACCCAGAUGAUGGAGAGAGCAUUGCAACUAAAAAUGAGAAGACAUGACAAGUUUAGUGAUCUAAUGAUUCCUUAAAAAAAAUUAAGUAUCACUUAAACUCUGGGAAGUCAGUCUCCUGACCCCGAAGCAAGAUAGCUCUACUGCAUGAUGCCUCCAAAGCCCCCUGAAGGUUUGCUGAAGAAAAGGUUGAGCAUCACCCCCUUUUUUGAGCAUCUCUUCUAAUCUACCGCAACUGCUGUAGUCUUCAUCCAAACCACAGUAGAGUUUAGAUAAAAUGAAUUGAACUCUGUCUGACUUUGGGACAAACUGGAUAUGGCUAAGUGUUUGCUAUAUGUUAGCAGAAAUAAAUUCAUUGAAACAAUUCUUGUUCAAGAGGUCAGAAGAUGGGAGGAUAUAGUGAUGCUCUGAUAUCACACAUGCACUCAAGGUUAAAAUAAGAAUCUACCAUAAUUUCUCAGCUUCUUCAUAAUGUGCUCCAUGCCUUUCUCCAAAGUUUUAUCCUGAAAUUAUUAUCCUAAAUUAUUAUCUUAAAAAUCACAUAUUACCUUUUAAUUUUCAUGGAAGAGUAAUCAAAAUAAUCAGUAUAAUUUUGUAGUGUAUUUAAGUAUAGAAAAAUUAAAUGUUAGCUUUUCAUUCAUCUGACAUAAGUGGUGUCCACUGAAAUGUGACUUGAUUUUACUAACUGGAACAUAAAAGUUGUAAGCAUGAAUGGUAUUAAAGCAAACAUCUCACCAACAUUCGACCCUUGGCUCCCUGGGAAAAGAGGUAAUUGGACUCCUCUAGAAAACUCUGGUACAGCAAAUAAAUGUUAUUUAGAACUAUGUCAUUUCGUCUAUUUCUUUUUAUCUUGUUAAAUUCAAAUAAAAUUAAAAUUGUCCCAUGAGGGAUUAGUUUUUAAACUUUCAUAAUAUAAUUCUUCAUACUAUUUUUUAGUGUCUAAAUUUUCUAACAUAAAAUUGUAUUUCUUUCAACAUAAC